GGCGUGAUAGCUCAAUUGGGAGAGCGUACGACUGAAGUUCGUAAGGUCGGGUGUUCGAUCCACCCUCAGGCCA
Molecule: non-coding RNA, 73 nt
Organism: Flagelloscypha sp. PMI_526
Lineage: Eukaryota; Fungi; Basidiomycota; Agaricomycetes; Agaricales; Niaceae
Source: the annotation of a GenBank genome assembly